Molecule: long non-coding RNA, 642 nt
Organism: Balaenoptera ricei (Rice's whale)
Lineage: Eukaryota; Metazoa; Chordata; Mammalia; Artiodactyla; Balaenopteridae
Exons: 2
Source: RefSeq, a predicted model, not a curated record
GCAGCCGAGCGAGACAGCCACGCCUUCAUGGAGGAACACGGGCUAAUGAGAGUGCUGUGAAGUCAGUUGUCCCCGUUCCUGAAGUGGAAACUUGAUCUUUAAGAACUCAGGAAAGUUCGGAGGUCCCGCCCUUGCCACCGCGAGGCCCGUUCCGGAAGAUUUAAAACACACUGAAAUCCGAAUCAUCCCAGGGCUGGACGAGGCUGGAUAUAGCUGGGGGCCGUGGUCGCCCACUCUGGGGUAGACGGACACGCUACCAGACAGGGACUUUCCUGGUGGCGCAGUGGUUAAGAAUCCGCCUGCCAAUGCAGGGGACACAGGUUUGAGCCCUGGUCUGGGAAGAUCCCACAUGCCAUGGAGCAACAAAGCCCGUGAGCCACAACUACUGAGCUUGCGCUCUAGAGCCCGCGAGCCACAACUACUGAAGACUGUGCACCACAACUAGUGAAGCCCGCUCGCCUAGAGCCUGUGCUCUGCAACAAGAGAAGCCACUGCAAUGAGAAGUCCGCGCACCGCAACAAGGAGUAGCCCCCGCUUUCCGCAACUAGAGAAAGCCCUAGAGAAAGCCCGCAUGUAGCGACGAAGACCCAACGCAGCCAAAAAUAAAUAAAUAAAUAAAAACAAAACCAAAACUUAAUGUUA